RNAcentral lists this ribosomal RNA (88 nucleotides) under Escherichia coli. Lineage: Bacteria; Pseudomonadati; Pseudomonadota; Gammaproteobacteria; Enterobacterales; Enterobacteriaceae. The record is from RNAcentral.
UCUGGCGGCCUUAGCGCGGUGGUCCCACCUGACCCCAUGCCGAACUCAGAAGUGAAACGCCGUAGCGCCGAUGGUAGUGUGGGGUCUC